Megalobrama amblycephala (Wuchang bream) is the source of this 566-nucleotide long non-coding RNA. RefSeq lists it as uncharacterized. The transcript has 2 exons. The record is from RefSeq and is a predicted model, not a curated record. NCBI's taxonomy places the organism in Eukaryota, Metazoa, Chordata, Actinopteri, Cypriniformes, Xenocyprididae.
ACUGGAGGAGCUGAGGAAGAAUCCGGCAGUGUUCUACAACAUGUUUGUCAGUGAGGAGAUUCAACUACAGGCGAAGGACCUAUGCACUUUAUUUGACAUGGACUUCUCUGUGCAAGGCAGCAACAGGAUAGACUGAGAAAACAUGACAAUAUGCUUUUGGCGUGACUGGUUAAUUGAUAUUGAAGAAAGAGAAUGCAGUCCAGUCACCCUAGAGAAGGUAUUGGAGUUUACAUCUGGAGCUUCAACAGUGCCUCCACUGGGAUUUCCACACCGUCCACAAAUUCAGUUCCUUCAUGAGGGCAACAGAAUAUUCCCAGAAGCAAAUUCUUGUAUUCUUGUACUCCGCCUGCCGCUGCACUCUUCCUACGAAGCCUUCAAACAAUACAUGAUGGAGGGAAUUUUGGAAGCUCCAACCUUUGAACUUGCAUGAUGUCACUAUGUGUGUAAAACUUAUUAAUGGAAAUUCAGUUUUCACUUGAGCUAUAUUUGUGCUUAGAAGUUAUUGAAUAGAAUGCUGUUGAAGCAAGUCACUGGUUCAGAUGUUAAUUUUAGAAUCUCAUGCACUU